This 468-nucleotide ribosomal RNA is filed under the name uncultured bacterium. RNAcentral describes it as "partial 16S ribosomal RNA". It matches the Rfam family "Bacterial small subunit ribosomal RNA", at positions 28 to 507 of the family's 1533-position model. The record is from RNAcentral.
GACGAACGCUGGCGGCGUGCUUAACACAUGCCAGUCGAACGGAAAGGCCUUGCUUUUGUGGGGUGCUCGAGUGGCGAACGGGUGAGUAACACGUGAGUAACCUGCGCUUGACUUUGGGAUAACUUCAGGAAACUGGGGCUAAUACCGGAUAGGAGCUCCUGCUGCAUGGUGGGGGUUGGAAAGUUUCGGCGGUUGGGGAUGGACUCGCGGCUUAUCAGCUUGUUGGUGGGGUAGUGGCUUACCAAGGCUUUGACGGGUAGCCGGCCUGAGAGGGUGACCGGCCACAUUGGGACUGAGAUACGGCCCAGACUCCUACGGGAGGCAGCAGUGGGGAAUAUUGCACAAUGGGCGGAAGCCUGAUGCAGCAACGCCGCGUGCGGGAUGACGGCCUUCGGGUUGUAAACCGCUUUCGCCUGUGACGAAGCGUGAGUGACGGUAAUGGGUAAAGAAGCACCGGCUAACUACGUG